Molecule: long non-coding RNA, 1571 nt
Filed under: Salmo salar (Atlantic salmon)
Lineage: Eukaryota; Metazoa; Chordata; Actinopteri; Salmoniformes; Salmonidae
Description: lncRNA (ENSSSAG00000118725.1)
Source: RNAcentral
UAAGGUUGUUUGACUCACGUUUCUUGACGUCGGGCAGGACGGUGGAUCCGGCCACCUUGUUUUCCCAGAGUUCCGUACCCAGAGUGCUGUGGGGCUGCGUGGCCAGGGCCACAGGUGGCAGGGAGGUCUUAGAGCUGAAGUCCACAGUGGUGGGGAUCUGGGCGGAGGGUAAGGGGGUUAAAGAGCCCUCCAGAGUCUGGGGAGAGGCAGCAGGCUGGGAAGGGAACUGGGGGGCAGAGAGAUGGGGCUUGUUUUUUUUCGGGGGGGAUGGGGGCUGUGGCUGUGAGGCUUGCUGUUGUUGCGAUGCUUGUUGCUGCUGCUGCUUUUUGGCAAAUCUGGGAGGCUGGUGUCUGUGCUCCUGACAGGGCCUGUGUGUCUCUGGAUCUCUGGGGGCCAUUCACAGACCCCUCCUCAGUCUCAGGGGCCUCCCUCUUCCCAUCCCUCUCCCUGUCCCUCUCUCUUUCUCCCUGGGGCCUGUCCCUGGGGCCCCCAGACACAGCAGCAGCUGCGAAGGCAGCUUUCGCUCCUCCUCGCUCCUCCUUCUUGGGUCUCUCCCCUCUCUCUCUGUGUCGCUCUCUCUCCUCCCGCUGCUCUCUCUCUUCCUUCAUGUCUCGGAGUACAGGUUUCUUAAUGGGUCCAGACCUGCGUACAGGCCUCUCACCCCCUGGCCCUUCCCUCCGGCCGGCCACUGACCUCCCUCCCAAACGCAACUCAGCCUUCUGCUUGCUAGGAGCUGACAAGGGAAGCUUCUCUGGCUUGUGGAGGCUGUCGGAUGGAGGGGUGGGCCUGUUGUUGGCCACAGCAGUCUGGGAGAAAGGCUCUUUCCUAGGCUUCAGUUCGUCUGGGCCUGGCCUCUCCCCUGCAUCCUGGAGCUCAAGUGUCUUUGUGCCCAGGGGGAGGCUGUCGAACCUAGGCUCGUCCAGUUUGAGUGAGUGGCUGGAGCCCUUGGGAGAUGGUCCUCUGUAGCAUGGCCUGUCCCAGAGCCUCAACCUCCUCUCCAGUGGGCAGGCCAGGCUCCUCUGGCUCAAAGGGGGACACACCAGGCCCUCUCUCUGUCUGCAGGGAUCCUAGAGCCUCCUCGGGGCCCGGGCCAAACCCUGACAGGGGCUCUGUGGGGUUUCUGAAGAAGUCAGUCUUGCUGCGGGGCUCAAGAGGACUGAUAUCCUGGCUGGGGUAAAUAACUGGUGAACCCCGGUCCAGCUCCAACCCAGAGUCCAACCUGGGGAAAAGCGAGAGAGAUGUUUUAAUCAAAAACUCUGCAAACAAUAGAAGUGGCUGCCUCUCAUUCAUAUGCCCUGAGGAUUUGAGGAAACCAGCGGUGUACUGAGAUGCAGCCUGAUUGGUGUGUUGUCCAUUCACCUGGUGUCCUUGUCCUCCCAUCCUUUAGGGGGAGUGACGGAGGUUAGGGGAUCAGUUUGUGCGUACGGGUCAGACCCCCACACCGUACGUGGUUCAGAGGGGAGACUGUGGUCCCGUAUGGGCCUGGUCAGGUGGUCAAAGGAGUCAGAACUGGAGCAGGAUUUGUCCCCUGCUUCUCUACGAACUAUCUGCUUAGGACCCAUCCGCCCUGG